UCGCAAGAUUAAAACUCAAAGGAAUUGACGGGGGCCCGCACAAGCAGCGGAGCAUGUGGUUUAAUUCGAAGCAACGCGAAGAACCUUACCUAGACUUGACAUCUCCUGAAUUACUCUUAAUAGAGGAAGUCCCUUCGGGGACAGGAAGACAGGUGGUGCAUGGUUGUCGUCAGCUCGUGUCGUGAGAUGUUGGGUUAAGUCCCGCAACGAGCGCAACCCUUAUUGUUAGUUGCUACCAUUUAGUUGAGCACUCUAGCGAGACUGCCCGGGUUAACCGGGAGGAAGGUGGGGAUGACGUCAAAUCAUCAUGCCCCUUAUGUCUAGGGCUACACACGUGCUACAAUGGCUGGUACAGAGAGAUGCAAUACCGCGAGGUGGAGCCAAACUUCAAAACCAGUCUCAGUUCGGAUUGUAGGCUGAAACUCGCCUACAUGAAGCUGGAGUUGCUAGUAAUCGCGAAUCAGAAUGUCGCGGUGAAUACGUUCCCGGGCCUUGUACACACCGCCCGUCACACCAUGAGAGUUGGCAAUACCCAAAGUUCGUGAGCUAACGCGUAAGCGGGGCAGCGACCUAAGGUAGGGUCAGCGAUUGGGGUG
This 596-nucleotide ribosomal RNA is filed under the name uncultured bacterium. Its description in RNAcentral is "bacterial SSU rRNA". It matches the Rfam family "Bacterial small subunit ribosomal RNA", at positions 886 to 1482 of the family's 1533-position model. The record is from RNAcentral.